UAAAUUGAGAGUUUGAUCCUGGCUCAGGAUGAACGCUGGCGGCGUGCCUAAUACAUGCAAGUCGAACGAAACUUCUUUAUCACCGAGUGCUUGCACUCACCGAUGAAGAGUUGAGUGGCGAACGGGUGAGUAACACGUGGGCAACCUGCCCAAAAGAGGGGGAUAACACUUGGAAACAGGUGCUAAUACCGCAUAACCAUAGUUACCGCAUGGUAACUAUGUAAAAGGUGGCUAUGCUACCGCUUUUGGAUGGGCCCGCGGCGCAUUAGCUGGUUGGUGGGGUAAAGGCUUACCAAGGCAAUGAUGCGUAGCCGAACUGAGAGGUUGAUCGGCCACAUUGGGACUGAGACACGGCCCAAACUCCUACGGGAGGCAGCAGUAGGGAAUCUUCCACAAUGGGCGAAAGCCUGAUGGAGCAACGCCGCGUGGGUGAAGAAGGUCUUCGGAUCGUAAAACCCUGUUGUUAGAGAAGAAAGUGCGUGAGAGUAACUGUUCACGUUUCGACGGUAUCUAACCAGAAAGCCACGGCUAACUACGUGCCAGCAGCCGCGGUAAUACGUAGGUGGCAAGCGUUAUCCGGAUUUAUUGGGCGUAAAGGGAACGCAGGCGGUCUUUUAAGUCUGAUGUGAAAGCCUUCGGCUUAACCGGAGUAGUGCAUUGGAAACUGGGAGACUUGAGUGCAGAAGAGGAGAGUGGAACUCCAUGUGUAGCGGUGAAAUGCGUAGAUAUAUGGAAGAACACCAGUGGCGAAAGCGGCUCUCUGGUCUGUAACUGACGCUGAGGUUCGAAAGCGUGGGUAGCAAACAGGAUUAGAUACCCUGGUAGUCCACGCCGUAAACGAUGAAUGCUAAGUGUUGGAGGGUUUCCGCCCUUCAGUGCUGCAGCUAACGCAAUAAGCAUUCCGCCUGGGGAGUACGACCGCAAGGUUGAAACUCAAAGGAAUUGACGGGGGCCCGCACAAGCGGUGGAGCAUGUGGUUUAAUUCGAAGCAACGCGAAGAACCUUACCAGGUCUUGACAUCUUUUGACAAUCCUAGAGAUAGGACUUUCCCUUCGGGGACAAAAUGACAGGUGGUGCAUGGUUGUCGUCAGCUCGUGUCGUGAGAUGUUGGGUUAAGUCCCGCAACGAGCGCAACCCUUAUUGUUAGUUGCCAGCAUUAAGUUGGGCACUCUAGCAAGACUGCCGGUGACAAACCGGAGGAAGGUGGGGAUGACGUCAAAUCAUCAUGCCCCUUAUGACCUGGGCUACACACGUGCUACAAUGGACGGUACAACGAGUCGCAAGACCGCGAGGUUUAGCAAAUCUCUUAAAGCCGUUCUCAGUUCGGAUUGUAGGCUGCAACUCGCCUACAUGAAGUCGGAAUCGCUAGUAAUCGCGGAUCAGCAUGCCGCGGUGAAUACGUUCCCGGGCCUUGUACACACCGCCCGUCACACCAUGAGAGUUUGUAACACCCAAAGCCGGUGGGGUAACCUUUUGGAGCCAGCCGUCUAAGGUGGGACAGAUGAUUAGGGUGAAGUCGUAACAAGGUAGCCGUAGGAGAACCUGCGGCUGGAUCACCUCCUUUCUAAGGA
This 1571-nucleotide ribosomal RNA is filed under the name Ligilactobacillus murinus. RNAcentral's name for it is "Lactobacillus murinus 16S ribosomal RNA". It matches the Rfam family "Bacterial small subunit ribosomal RNA". Lineage: Bacteria; Bacillati; Bacillota; Bacilli; Lactobacillales; Lactobacillaceae. The record is from RNAcentral.